RNA transcript from Macaca mulatta (Rhesus monkey), 4674 nucleotides. It is a transcript of the gene named endoplasmic reticulum oxidoreductase 1 beta, with no coding region annotated. NCBI's taxonomy places the organism in Eukaryota, Metazoa, Chordata, Mammalia, Primates, Cercopithecidae. The record is from RefSeq and is a predicted model, not a curated record.
CGUGGCCGAUGAGCCGAGCGAGCUGGGGGCGGGGCCGCCUGGGGGAUGAUGUAGGGGAGCUCGCCUUUCCUGCCUCACUCGCAGCUGCCGGGUAUUUCGGAGAGUCUCCCGCCUCUGGACCGGCGUGCAAACCUCUGAUCCUGGAGCCGCUCGGCCGCUGGGAACCGUCCCCUUGGGUCGUCGCCCGGGCCGCCCGCCGUUCCCCGGCCCCGAGGGACCCGGCUGGCAGCGGCGUGGGGAGAGAUCAGCAUGAGCCAAGGGGUCCGCCGGGCAGGCGCUGGGCAGGGGGCAGCGGCCGCAGUGCAGCUACUGGUCACCCUGAGCUUCCUCCGGAGCGUCGUCGAGGCGCAGGUCACUGGAGUUCUGGAUGAUUGCUUGUGUGACAUUGACAGCAUCGAUAACUUCAAUACCUACAAAAUCUUCCCCAAAAUAAAAAAAUUGCAAGAGAGAGACUAUUUUCGUUAUUACAAGGUUAAUCUGAAGCGACCUUGUCCUUUCUGGGCAGAAGAUGGCCACUGUUCAAUAAAAGACUGUCAUGUGGAGCCCUGUCCGGAGAGUAAAAUUCCUGUUGGAAUAAAAGCUGGGCAUUCUAAUAAGUACUUGAAAAUGGCAAACAGUACCAAAGAAUUAGAAGAUUGUGAGCAAGCUAAUAAACUGGGAGCAAUUAACAGCACAUUAAGUAAUCAAAGCAAAGAAGCUUUCAUUGACUGGGCAAGAUAUGAUGAUUCACGGGAUCACUUUUGUGAACUUGAUGAUGAGAGAUCUCCAGCUGCUCAGUAUGUAGACCUAUUGCUGAACCCAGAGCGUUACACUGGCUAUAAAGGGACCUCUGCAUGGAGAGUGUGGAACAGCAUCUAUGAAGAGAACUGUUUCAAGCCUCGAUCUGUUUAUCGUCCUUUAAAUCCUCUGGCACCUAGCCGAGGCGAAGAUGAUGGAGAAUCAUUCUACACAUGGCUAGAAGGUUUGUGUCUGGAGAAAAGAGUCUUCUAUAAGCUCAUAUCAGGACUUCAUGCUAGCAUCAAUUUACAUCUAUGCGCAAAUUAUCUUUUGGAAGAAACCUGGGGUAAGCCCAGUUGGGGACCUAAUAUUAAAGAAUUCAAACGCCGCUUUGACCCUGUGGAAACCAAGGGAGAAGGUCCGAGAAGGCUCAAGAAUCUUUACUUUUUAUACUUGAUUGAGCUUCGAGCUUUGUCAAAGGUGGCUCCAUAUUUUGAGCGCUCAAUUGUCGAUCUUUACACUGGAAAUGCAGAAGAAGAUGCUGACACAAAAACUCUUCUACUGAAUAUCUUUCAAGAUACAAAGUCCUUUCCCAUGCACUUUGAUGAGAAAUCCAUGUUUGCAGGUGACAAAAAAGGGGCCAAGUCACUAAAGUUGCCAUGUGAAACAAAUGAGGAAAUUUUCUCUUAACCAAUCUUAUCCGCAGAUAAGGAGGAAUUCCGAUUACAUUUCAAGAAUAUCUCCCGUAUAAUGGACUGUGUUGGAUGUGACAAAUGCAGAUUAUGGGGAAAAUUACAGACUCAGGGUUUAGGAACUGCCCUGAAGAUAUUAUUCUCUGAAAAAGAAAUCCAAAAGCUGCCAGAGAAUAGUCCAUCUAAAGGCUUCCAGCUCACCCGACAGGAAAUAGUUGCUCUUUUAAAUGCUUUUGGAAGGCUUUCUACAAGUAUAAGAGACUUACAGAAUUUUAAAGUCUUAUUACAACACAGUAGGUAAUAAAGGCUUUUAUGUGUCUAACUAGAGACAUAAAGUGACUGUGGAAAGCCUUUUAAUUAUGGACAUUCAGCAGAAAGAGACUAGUCUGACUUCAAGAAUUCUGAACUCUUAAAUAGAAAAUUUAAAUGCUCACUUGAAUAUUUAUGAUUCUUAAUAGAUUAUCGACUAGAGAUAUUUAUAAAUGAAGUAUAUACUUUUAAAACAUGUAAGUUAUACUAAUUCUGUGUUUAAUUUCAUGUGUUUUCAUGUGCUGAAAAUUCUAUUUUUCUUAGAAUUGGUUUUGUUUUUAUUCUAUUAUCCUUUAUUUCCAGUUGUCAAACUUUAGAUGGCUAUGUCUGCAUUCUAAUAACACUGUUCACAGUCUGAUAUGGAAAAGGAGAACUAGGGAACAAAUGUUGCUUAGGGCUGGUGUCAGUGAUAAAAAAUUAUCAAUGCUUUUUAAUGUGUUUUUACUCUUGCCUCACUCUGUGUGUGUCACUUUCUAUAAUAUAAAGAAAUAUUAUAAUAUUUCUAGAAUCUGGAACUGUCACCAUGAUGAAUGGCCCUUUCAAUACAUAGUUACAGAAACUCCUUAAGAUUCCCCAGGACUUCAAUUUCACUGGUUUUUAGUUGCAGUUUUUAGUUGCAGUUUUUAGUUGCUGUUAUUGUUGCUGUUUCCAGUCUAAAGGACCUGCUUUGAUAAAGGUGAACAAGACCUCGCCCCUAUGCUACCCAGCCAGAUUUCAUGUGUGUAAUGGGCUGGCCCAAGAGUGUUCUUUUACUUAGAACUCCUUUUGAUUUUGCUUUUCUUUGCCCCUAGAAAUUUUAGGGACAAAGACAUUUUGGAAAUUGUCAGUUACUUUUAGAAAGAAAACAUUGCAGAAAUAUUUAACAGAUUACUUCUUGAUAAAAUUUAAAUGGGAUUAUAUGAAUUUAUAAUGCCAACUGAAAAUAUUAUAUACACAAAAGUUGCUAUUUUCACUUAAAGUAAGCAUUUUUAAAGGAUUUAUUUUAGAAUACAGUCUAUGCAAUCCUCAAACUCAGUGUGCUUUUCCCUGACAGAAUAUAUAAAAAGGUAGAUUAGGUCAACCCUCCUUUAAGCUUCCUCUCCCCUCACCUUUUCUUUUCACUGUAUAUAAACGGUACUUUCUGUGAUUCGUAGCAACAGAGGACUCUUAAGUCCUAAACUGUCAUUUUCUAAAUCUGGGAUUUAAAAUCUUUAAACAAUAUUUAAAAUCUUGAUUUUUUAAAAAUGUCAGCAGAUACAAUUUGGAAAGUUGCAUCUGUGUAGAAGUAAUGUAGGUACAAGAUCUAGAGUUUUUCCUUAGACUCUUUAGUCUUUUCUGAAUUAAAGAAUAAGUGCUCUUAAAUCCAUAUUUUAUCCUGCCAAAGUCUGAAAUGUGUUCAUUGAUGAUUUGGUGACAUCUAAAAAAUUGUAUUUAGUUGGCUUGGCUCACCCCUCUUAAAAAUACUUAGCCAUCUCUCGGUGGGAUGUGGCGGGGGCAUUAAGGUCUCAGAGUUACUUAUUUUCUCACCUAAUUUCAAACGGUUAUAAACUUGGGGUUUUGUUAUUGAUGGUGGUGAUAUUUUUUGUUAAGUUGUUUAAAAGGCUGACUUGAUUGGAGCCUCCUCUACUUUUUCUUGAGGGAUACAAGUAUUGUAUGGUGGGGGGGGGGGGGCCUUAAGGCAAACUGUCUAAAAAGUGACUAUCCAAUUAAUUUAGUAAAUUAGUAAGAAUUAUUCUUAGUAUUCAUUCAGAGUUUUAAGAUGUGAAAAAUUUGCACUUUGUUUAUUAACUAUAAAGAACUUUUUGAUAGUGUUAUUUCACCCUUCCCUCAGUUAAAGGCUAUUAUUUAAACUGUUUACUAGAGAAAAUCCUUGCUCAUGUCCAUUUAUUUAUUUUUUUCUGUACUGUGAUUUGUUUCAAGCUUAGGAAAACUAGUAUAUUAGAGAAUGUUCUAGGAAAUUAAAAGAUCUAGUUAGAGUAGAAAGUUCUUUUUAAGGUUCUUAACUAAUUUUUUCACAACUAAGAAAAUAAAUGAAGUAUUCUUAGGCUGAAAUUCAUUUUGAUUAACUUUAUUUUAUCAUAAAUUAGAUUGUAGGGGGCAGCCUACAUUUUUGUGUAUGUGUUUUAUUUCUUAAAUGAUUGUGACAUUUUAUGGUUCUUGUGAUAUAAACUGUUUUUCCAAUUCACAUCUUUUGUUGUGAAGUGAUAUUUUACUAGAGUACUGUCUGCAUUGUAAAAAUGCUUUGCUGGUGCUCUUGGCAUUUUGUCUUUAUCUCAUCACCUAAUUUAAAAACUCAGCACUUGAUAAUAUAACUGACAGAAAUGAUUGUACCUGCUGAUGAAGUAAUGAAAAUGAAGAAAAGGAAAAUAUUCCUUCCUUCAAUGGCAUAAGUUUAUUUUUUACUUAAGUGGCAUCUAUGUAAGUUAGACAAACUAUAUAUUAAAAUUGGUCAACUUUGAAUGUUUCUCCUGUUUUGAUUCUUAGAUUAUGAGGAGGAUCAGACAGAAUAGUAAUAGACUCCACAGUUUUAAAAUUUGAUAAGUCAAAACGUUUUGACAUAUUUAACAUUGUGAAUUAUUCGAUUAUUUUUAUCCUCUGUAUGUAUAUGAAACUCUAUGCCAUAUUUUUCAACUUUGCCUAUGUGCCACAAUUAAGAAAGGACACCUAUUUUGAUCUUCAUCAGCAUUGCCUUCAGCUGAAAAUUUGGGAACAGUUCACAGUAAACCUCUCAGUAGUUUGCAAACUGAGGUACCUGCAGAAACCAUAGCUACUCACCAAAAUACGCAGAUUAGGUACAUGGUAUCAUGGAAAUUAUUUGGUAAAAAAAAAAACAAAAACAAAACACACACAAAUCUUGUGUACUGUAUUUUAAGUAAUAUCUACAGGUGAAGCUUUGAUUUUUGAACAGAAUUCCAAAUAAUUUACUGUUGUACCCACCAUAAUCUAGAAAAUGUGAAUUAAAGUACAUGUUUCUAAA